RNAcentral lists this ribosomal RNA (430 nucleotides) under uncultured bacterium. RNAcentral describes it as "bacterial SSU rRNA". It matches the Rfam family "Bacterial small subunit ribosomal RNA", at positions 355 to 776 of the family's 1533-position model. The record is from RNAcentral.
UGAGGAAUUUUGCGCAAUGGGGGCAACCCUGACGCAGCAACGCCGCGUGAGUGAAGAAGGCCUUUGGGUCGUAAAGCUCUGUCAACAGGGAAGAAGUUACAAUUGUUUAAUAGAUGGUUGUAUUGACGGUACCUGUGGAGGAAGCGCCGGCUAACUCCGUGCCAGCAGCCGCGGUAAUACGGGGGGCGCAAGCGUUAUUCGGAAUUAUUGGGCGUAAAGGGCGCGCAGGCGGUCUUGUCCGUCAGGUGUGAAAGCUCGGGGCUCAACCCCGGAAGUGCACUUGAAACAGCAAGACUUGAAUACGGGAGAGGAAAGCGGAAUUCCUGGUGUAGAGGUGAAAUUCGUAGAUAUCAGGAGGAACACCGAUGGCGAAGGCAGCUUUCUGGACCGAUAUUGACGCUGAGGCGCGAAGGCGUGGGUAGCAAACGGG